RNAcentral lists this ribosomal RNA (475 nucleotides) under uncultured bacterium. RNAcentral describes it as "bacterial SSU rRNA". It matches the Rfam family "Bacterial small subunit ribosomal RNA", at positions 32 to 513 of the family's 1533-position model. The record is from RNAcentral.
AAUCAACGCUGGCGGCGUGCCUCAGACAUGCAAGUCGAACGAUUAAGACUCUCUUCGGAGAGUGUAUAAAGUGGCGCACGGGUGAGUAACACGUAGGUAAUGUACCGAAGGGUGGGGAAUAACUUAGGGAAACUUAAGCUAAUACCGCAUAAUGCAGCGGCUCGACAUCGAGACAGUUGUUAAAGGAGCAAUCCGCCUUUUUGAGCAGCCUGCGGCAGAUUAGCUAGUUGGUAAGGUAAUGGCUUACCAAGGCUACGAUCUGUAACCGACCUGAGAGGGUGGUCGGUCACACUGACACUGAAUAACGGGUCAGACUCCUACGGGAGGCAGCAGUCGGAAUUUUUGGGCAAUGGGCGAAAGCCUGACCCAGCAACGCCGCGUGAAGGAUGAAGUAUUUCGGUAUGUAAACUUCGUAAGAAUAGGAAGAAUAAAUGACGGUACUAUUGUAAGGUCCGGUCGUAACUACGUGCCAGCA